AGGAUGAACGCUGGCGGCGUGCCUAACACAUGCAAGUCGAACGUCCUGUCUCGCAAGAGGCAGGGAGUGGCGGACGGGUGAGUACCACGUGGGUCAUCUACCGUGAGGUGAGGAAUACCGGCGAGAAAUCGCCGACAAGACCGCAUAGGCUCGAUGCAAGUCGAGCAAAGCUCUUUCGAGAGAGGGAGCGCCACACGAGGAGCCUGCGCCCGAUUAGCUAGCUGGUGGAGUAACGGUUCACCAGGGCGACGAUCGGUAGCUGGUCUGAGAGGACGAUCAGCCACACUGGGAUUGAGAACGGCCCAGACUCCUACGGGGGGCAGCAGUGAGGAAUUUUCGUCAAUGGGGGCAACCCUGAACGAGCAACGCCGCGUGCAGGAAGAAGGUUUUCGGAUCGUAAACUGCUUUUCGUCGGGGAAGAGAACGGACGGUACCCGAGGAAUCAGCCCCGGCUAACUACGUGCCAGCAGCCGCGGU
RNAcentral lists this ribosomal RNA (477 nucleotides) under uncultured bacterium. Its description in RNAcentral is "SSU rRNA". It matches the Rfam family "Bacterial small subunit ribosomal RNA", at positions 26 to 521 of the family's 1533-position model. The record is from RNAcentral.